CGCUCACAGCUCCUUCUCGUUUUGGU
RNAcentral lists this non-coding RNA (26 nucleotides) under Rattus norvegicus (Norway rat). The record is from RNAcentral. Lineage: Eukaryota; Metazoa; Chordata; Mammalia; Rodentia; Muridae.